This 402-nucleotide ribosomal RNA is filed under the name uncultured bacterium. Its description in RNAcentral is "bacterial SSU rRNA". It matches the Rfam family "Bacterial small subunit ribosomal RNA", at positions 28 to 424 of the family's 1533-position model. The record is from RNAcentral.
GACGAACGCUGGCGGCGUGCUUAAUACAUGCAAGUCGAGCGAGGUCCAUCUGGUGGCAACACCAGUGAAGGCCGAGCGGCGAACGGGUGAGUAACACGUGAGCAACCUGCCCCGAAGUCUGGAAUAACAUCGGGAAACCGGUGCUAAUACCGGAUCGCCCCACCUGACCGCAUGAUCGGGUGAGGAAAGAUUUAUCGCUUCGGGAGGGGCUCGCGGCCUAUCAGCUAGNGGUGGGGUAACGGCCUACCAAGGCAUCGACGGGUAGCUGGUCUGAGAGGACGACCAGCCACACUGGGACUGAGACACGGCCCAGACUCCUACGGGAGGCAGCAGUAGGGAAUCUUGCGCAAUGGGCGAAAGCCUGACGCAGCAACGCCGCGUGGGGGAUGACGGCCUCGGGUU